UAUAGUAUCUAAAGAUUCCUUAAUUAAAAAUGGCCCACUUUUUGGCAGCUAGGAGAGGGGAUGCGCUCGAACCCCCUGUGGCCUUACUUCUCAAGACACUCCGAGGGACGCAAACUCCAGAAACAUAAAAAAGCAAGAACAAGUGUAACGAGAGGCGAAGAUGCGACUUUAGUGGGUGACUUUCUUUGAAAACUUGCAUGAAUCGGAUCGGCAUCGUAGUACGACCGAGUGUAGUCCGACAGCACUUUCUCAAGGUCGUUCAUAUCAAUGAAAUCCUCCUCCUGAUAAGCUGGAUUCGUUUUCGCUUUUCCAUCUUCCAUUCCGAUAAUUUUGUAUAAUCGCUGCUGUUUUGUAUUGAUAACGCGAGAGCCUUAAACGUGAACGCAUGUGUGUAUAGCUCUCUUCUUCUAUCCAUGCGAUUUGUGUAUGAAUAGCAUUUGCUGUUCAAAACAAGCUCAUUCAGGCGGGAGAUUCUAGAAGUGCAUUCCACGCUUACUGAACCGGCAUGACACGCGACCGGAGACUGAACCCAGUCAGAGUUUACAUCAGUUAGAGCAAAAAAUAACUGAUGGACUCGUCUUCGAUUAAGCAUAACCAGAGUAGCUCAUGUAUAUAUAACUCUUGCAUACUCUUUUUUAUAUAACAAAAAUCAUUAGAACGCCCUGCCUGAUAUUUUAGUAAUAAAAACAUACCGAGGCUCAGAUAGCCGCAAAA
This is a long non-coding RNA of Nematostella vectensis (starlet sea anemone), 714 nucleotides long. RefSeq lists it as uncharacterized. The transcript is spliced from 2 exons. The record is from RefSeq and is a predicted model, not a curated record. Lineage: Eukaryota; Metazoa; Cnidaria; Anthozoa; Actiniaria; Edwardsiidae.